GACAAAUAGAAAAAUUCUUUUUAUAAUAAAAUUUAAAUAAUAAAUUUAAUUAUAGUUAUUAAAAAUUAAGGUGAAAUUUUUUUUUAAUUAAAUUUUAUAUAAAAUUAAAAUUCUUAUAAUAAACUAGGAUUAGAUACCCUAUUAUUUUAGAGCUUUACAUUGUAAGUAAAUAAUAAUUACGAAAGCAAAAAAUUAUGGCGGUAUUUUAAGCUUUUCAGAGGAAUUUGCUCUUUAAUGGAUAAAACACCUAAAUCUUACUUAAAUUUGUUAGGCCAAUUUGUAUACCACUAUUAAAUUAAUUAAUAAUUUUAAUUUAUAAAAUUUAUAUAAAUUUAAAAAAAAUUAAGUCAAGGUGCAGUAAAAAUUUAAGAAUGAAGUGAAUUACAAUUCUCUUAAGAGAUUAUUUAAAUUAAAAUUUUAAUUUAGGAUUUGAAAGUAAAAUUAAAAUAGAAUGUUAAUUUGAAUAAAGCUCUAAAAUAU
Molecule: ribosomal RNA, 480 nt
Filed under: Rhipicephalus annulatus
Lineage: Eukaryota; Metazoa; Arthropoda; Arachnida; Ixodida; Ixodidae
Description: partial small subunit ribosomal RNA
Source: RNAcentral